AAUAAAGUAACGCGUGUUUCAAUGCUUUGUAAUAUCAAGUGCUUUGUAAACCAUGAAGCUGGAUGCAGAUGUAAAGAAUUGUCUGGAGCGGGCACGGGAGCAGUGAAGACACUGCAGCCUUGGAAUCCUAAAACCUUUGAGUCCCUCCUCUGACACUUUCUGACCCGGAAAGAAACUCUGGAUCUCGGUCUUGCCAUCUGUAAACGUGGGUAAUAACUGCACACGCCUCACGAUGCACGUUAUAGGCUCGGCGCCUGUCCAGCCUGGAUUGAGAGCUUCGGACCGUCGUCCGGUGGUCUGGACAGCUCCCGGAGGGCCGUCUCCUCACCAGGCCAGCGAGGCUUCCGUCUCCUCUUCAGUUGAAUGGUGAUGAUUACACCAGCCCCUCUGCGAUGCUGCGUCUUUUAAUUAAUAUUUAUAAGGCAGCUGGAGAUGCUCACUUGAAAGGGGUGGGUAAUACACGCUGACUCCAGAGUGAGUCCAGCUGUCUCAGGACCCUACUGGUGGCUUCUCCGGGUGGGUCCCAGGGUCUAAAUCUGGGCCUCAUGUUUGGUGGUCAGAAAGAUGCCAUUUUUCUAGAAAAGCUAAGCUCCACUUCCCCAGCAGAUGCGCCUGAUCGCUCAGCUCUGAGUUGGUCUGAGACACGCUACAGGCCCGGUCCCAGGGCCCCUGGUUGUGUUGUGGAAGAAGUCAGGUGUAGGAGAUAAAGCAGCCAGUGUGGCUCCAGAUUUGCCUUCACGUGUCCUAACUCGGGGCUGCACCUGGGAGGCGGGUUGAGGCCUCCGAGACGGGCUGACGGGGCGGGCCAGGCCAGGCCAGGGGGCUGCUGCUUCAGGACGGAGCCUGCCCAUUGCUCAGGCAGGGAGGGCGUGAGGGGCGAGUGGGAAGGCCAAUGCCACGCCGUCCACUCCAGGGCUUCUCUGAACCCCGGGCUGCGCCAGGCACAGGAGGCUCAAGCGCGUAAUUUGUUACUGAGACUACUGCUGCAUUACCAAAGUCACUGGAUGGACACAAGGUUAGCUGGAAAUCCUCCUUCCACUCGUUUACGUUGCCAUAGGGUUUCUUGGCUGAGAGAGAAGACGAAGUCCUUCACCGCAGGGCAUGGCUGAGCUCAUCUUCGCCGUGAGCUGGGGAGUCUCUGACCCUUCAGGUAAGAGAUGCCUAACAGGAAAGCUGCUGGAUCGAAGAGCAGGUGCCGUUCACAUCCUGGUGGAUACGGCCUGACUGCCCUCUAGUUGCAUCCGUGUGGACUCCCACCAGGAGAUUAAGAAAGCAGCUGUUCCUCGAUGCUUUACGAUCAUUGAUGAGUCUGCGAAGUCCCAGAUCAAGGGGCCGCUGACUCAGUGCGUGGGCCACUGCGGCUGCCGAGGUGGAGAACAUUCUCGUCAAAGGAAGAGGGGAAGGAAGAAGAAGUGAAUUAGAAAAUCUGAGAAAUGCAGCAAAAUCAAGAUAUUUCCAAAGUGAUCGGGGGAAGAGAAACAGUGCGAUGCUGAAUUUCUCUGGGUGCUUCAUGCCAGAGAGGAGAGAAAUGUGAUCCAGAGGAUGACAAGCGGAAAGCGGCUUGGGGUUUGGAGUCAGAUUCAUCUGGGGUCAGAUUUGACUGGGUCACUUAGUUGCUGCAUGACCUUGGGCAGGUGACAACCUCCCCAGUCCUUUCUCCUUCUCCAUCUGUGAAAGAGUAACUAUUUAUGGGGCCACGUGAAGAUUAAAUGAAAGGCUGGUGAGCUGGGGGUCUGGGAUGCUCAACUUUUCCUGGUGGACAAUUUAAAGAUCUGUCUCCUCCCCCAAGAAUCCCGUAUCAGUUCCAGUUGUAAAGACAGGGAGACCACCCCUCACAGCUCAACAUUCA
Equus caballus (horse) is the source of this 1849-nucleotide long non-coding RNA. The record is from Ensembl. NCBI's taxonomy places the organism in Eukaryota, Metazoa, Chordata, Mammalia, Perissodactyla, Equidae.